AGGGGGGCAUACACAUGAAGCAGCAAUGCGGAUGGUGGCGACCGGCGCACGGGUGAGUAACACGUAUGCAACCUGCCUACAACAGGGGGAUAACCCGUUGAAAGACGGACUAAUACCCCAUAAUACAGGGGUCCCGCAUGGGAAUAUUUGUUAAAGAUUAAUCGGUUGUAGAUGGGCAUGCGUUCCAUUAGCUAGUUGGUGAGGUAACGGCCCACCAAGGCAACGAUGGAUAGGGGAACUGAGAGGUUUAUCCCCCACACUGGUACUGAGACACGGACCAGACUCCUACGGGAGGCAGCAGUGAGGAAUAUUGGUCAAUGGACGCAAGUCUGAACCAGCCACGUCGCGUGAAGGAAGACGGCCCUACGGGUUGUAAACUUCUUUUGUAAGGGAAUAAAGUGUAGUACGUGUACUAUUUUGCAUGUACCUUACGAAUAAGGAUCGGCUAACUCCGUGCCAGCAGCCGCGGUAAUACGGAGGAUCCGAGCGUUAUCCGGAUUUAUUGGGUUUAAAGGGUGCGCAGGCGGGAGAUUAAGUCGGCGGUGAAAUUUUGCAGCUCAACUGUAAAAGUGCCUUCGAAACUGGUUUCCUUGAGUGUAGAUGAAGUAGGCGGAAUUUGUGGUGUAGCGGUGAAAUGCAUAGAUAUCACGAGGAACUCCCGAUUGCGCAGGCAGCUUACUAAGCUACAACCUGACGCUUCAGG
This 703-nucleotide ribosomal RNA is filed under the name bacterium enrichment culture clone bHCH1_A12. Its description in RNAcentral is "bacterial SSU rRNA". It matches the Rfam family "Bacterial small subunit ribosomal RNA", at positions 65 to 751 of the family's 1533-position model. The record is from RNAcentral.